Molecule: ribosomal RNA, 329 nt
Filed under: uncultured eukaryote
Lineage: Eukaryota
Description: partial 18S ribosomal RNA
Rfam family: Eukaryotic small subunit ribosomal RNA
Source: RNAcentral
CCCUUAGAUGUUCUGGGCCGCACGCGCGCUACACUGACGAUGGCAACGAGUUUUUCCUUCGCCGAAAGGUGUGGGUAAUCUUUUGAAACAUCGUCGUGCUGGGGAUAGAUCAUUGCAAUUUUUGAUCUUGAACGAGGAAUUCCUAGUAAGCGCGAGUCAUCGGCUCGCGUUGAUUACGUCCCUGCCCUUUGUACACACCGCCCGUCGCUACUACCGAUUGAAUGGUUUAGUGAGGACUCCUGAUUGGCGCCGCCGCCCCGGCAACGGAGCAGCGGACUGCCGAAAAGUUGUUCAAACUUGAUCAUUUAGAGGAAGUAAAAGUCGUAACA